This 500-nucleotide ribosomal RNA is filed under the name uncultured bacterium. Its description in RNAcentral is "partial 16S ribosomal RNA". It matches the Rfam family "Bacterial small subunit ribosomal RNA", at positions 30 to 523 of the family's 1533-position model. The record is from RNAcentral.
AUUGAACGCUGGCGGCAUGCCUUACACAUGCAAGGCGAACGGCAGCACGGGAGCAAUCCUGGUGGCGAGUGGCGAACGGGUGAGUAAAGUAUCGGAACGUGCCCAGUCGUGGGGGAUAACGUAGCGAAAGUUACGCUAAUACCGCAUACGAUCUAUGGAUGAAAGCGGGGGAUCGCAAGACCUCGCGCGAUUGGAGCGGCCGAUAUCAGAUUAGGUAGUUGGUGGGGUAAAGGCUCACCAAGCCGACGAUCUGUAGCUGGUCUGAGAGGACGACCAGCCACACUGGGACUGAGACACGGCCCAGACUCCUACGGGAGGCAGCAGUGGGGAAUUUUGGACAAUGGGCGAAAGCCUGAUCCAGUCAUGCCGCGUGCAGGAUGAAGGCCUUCGGGUCGUAAACUGCUUUUGUACGGAACGAAAAGGUUUGGCCUAAUAAGCUGAGCUCAUGACGGUACCGUAAGAAUAAGCACCGGCUAACUACGUGCCAGCAGCCGCCGUAA